RNAcentral lists this ribosomal RNA (427 nucleotides) under uncultured bacterium. RNAcentral's name for it is "partial 16S ribosomal RNA". It matches the Rfam family "Bacterial small subunit ribosomal RNA", at positions 355 to 774 of the family's 1533-position model. The record is from RNAcentral.
UGGGGAAUAUUGCACAAUGGGCGCAAGCCUGAUGCAGCCAUGCCGCGUGUAUGAAGAAGGCCUUCGGGUUGUAAAGUACUUUCAGCGAGGAGGAAGGCGUUGUGGUUAAUAACCGCAGCGAUUGACGUUACUCGCAGAAGAAGCACCGGCUAACUCCGUGCCAGCAGCCGCGGUAAUACGGAGGGUGCAAGCGUUAAUCGGAAUUACUGGGCGUAAAGCGCACGCAGGCGGUCUGUCAAGUCGGAUGUGAAAUCCCCGGGCUCAACCUGGGAACUGCAUCCGAAACUGGCAGGCUAGAGUCUUGUAGAGGGGGGUAGAAUUCCAGGCGUAGCGGUGAAAUGCGUAGAGAUCUGGAGGAAUACCGGUGGCGAAGGCGGCCCCCUGGACAAAGACUGACGCUCAGGUGCGAAAGCGUGGGGAGCAAACA